AGUGAACGCUGGCGGUAGGCCUAACACAUGCAAGUCGAACGGCAGCACAGUAAGAGCUUGCUCUUACGGGUGGCGAGUGGCGGACGGGCGAGGAAUACAUCGGAAUCUACUUUUUCGUGGGGGAUAACGUAGGGAAACUUACGCUAAUACCGCAUACGACCUACGGGUGAAAGCAGGGGAUCUUCGGACCUUGCGCGAUUGAAUGAGCCGAUGUCGGAUUAGCUAGUUGGCGGGGUAAAGGCCCACCAAGGCGACGAUCCGUAGCUGGUCUGAGAGGAUGAUCAGCCACACUGGAACUGAGACACGGUCCAGACUCCUACGGGAGGCAGCAGUGGGGAAUAUUGGACAAUGGGCGCAAGCCUGAUCCAGCCAUACCGCGUGGGUGAAGAAGGCCUUCGGGUUGUAAAGCCCUUUUGUUGGGAAAGAAAAGCAGCAGGUUAAUACCCUGCUGUUCUGACGGUACCCAAAGAAUAAGCACCGGCUAACUUCGUG
RNAcentral lists this ribosomal RNA (492 nucleotides) under uncultured bacterium. RNAcentral's name for it is "partial 16S ribosomal RNA". It matches the Rfam family "Bacterial small subunit ribosomal RNA", at positions 29 to 507 of the family's 1533-position model. The record is from RNAcentral.